UACGGAGGGUGCAAGCGUUAAUCGGAAUUACUGGGCGUAAAGCGUGCGCAGGCGGUUUUGUAAGACAGAUGUGAAAUCCCCGGGCUCAACCUGGGAACUGCAUUUGUGACUGCACGGCUCGAGUGCGGCAGAGGGGGAUGGAAUUCCGCGUGUAGCAGUGAAAUGCGUAGAUAUGCGGAGGAACACCGAUGGCGAAGGCAAUCCCCUGGGCCUGCACUGACGCUCAUGCACGAAAGCGUGGGGAGCAAACAGG
This 253-nucleotide ribosomal RNA is filed under the name uncultured bacterium. RNAcentral's name for it is "partial 16S ribosomal RNA". It matches the Rfam family "Bacterial small subunit ribosomal RNA", at positions 524 to 776 of the family's 1533-position model. The record is from RNAcentral.